RNAcentral lists this long non-coding RNA (308 nucleotides) under Gallus gallus (chicken). RNAcentral describes it as "lncRNA (ENSGALG00010000333.1)". The record is from RNAcentral. Lineage: Eukaryota; Metazoa; Chordata; Aves; Galliformes; Phasianidae.
AACCACCACCUGGGAUAUGCCGCAGGUCCUCAGGAGGCAUCCCUGCGGAGGGGAAACCAAAGGAAGAGGAGGCUUUGCCACCUCUCGCCCAGGGCAAGAAAGUGAGAUUUGCUGGCAAGCCAACCUACAUCAAACGCUUGAGCUCGGACAGUCUAGAUGGAGGAAAACUCCGAAGGAUAAGGAGCUUACUGCGCAAGGAGAGCUCUACGUCCAGGUGAGGCUGGAGGCUCUGGCUUGGCAUGUGCAUGGGGGUGAUUGACUGAGCCAACGAGAGUCCAUUCCCUAGCCCCAAAGGGUCCCUGUUUCUG